GGCGGACGGGUGAGUAAUACUUAGGAAUCUGCCCAUUAGUGGGGGACAACUCGAGGAAACUCGAGCUAAUACCGCAUACGCCCUACGGGGGAAAGCGGAGGACCUUUCGGGGCUUCACGCUAAUGGAUGAGCCUAAGUCGGAUUAGCUUGUUGGUGAGGUAAAGGCUCACCAAGGCGACGAUCCGUAGCUGGUCUGAGAGGACGAUCAGCCACACUGGGACUGAGACACGGCCCAG
RNAcentral lists this ribosomal RNA (236 nucleotides) under uncultured bacterium. RNAcentral's name for it is "partial 16S ribosomal RNA". It matches the Rfam family "Bacterial small subunit ribosomal RNA", at positions 97 to 334 of the family's 1533-position model. The record is from RNAcentral.